CUUAAUAUGGAUGUGAUUUUUACUCUUUGAAGGUGUCUGCCAAAGGUACCAAGAACUUGAUUUCAUAAAAUAUCAGUACUUUGAAGCUAAAAACAUCCAGACUUUAAAGUGAUAGUUUUUUUUUCCCGAAAUCACGAGAUAACAAGACAAAAUGGAAGCAAAAGCAGAUAACAUUACAUCUGAGGAAAUAAUAAUAUCGUCGUUGUUGCAGUCUUGUCCAUUUGCAUGAAGCUAGUUCUAUUCAAAACCCAGAUCAAAGAACACAAACUUGUUCCAAGCAUAAAACAUUCAACCGUAGUUUACAGUUGGUAAUUGAGGGUGUUGUCCUGGGGGGCAGGUGUGAAAUUCCAUUUUCUGAGAAGAAAACUUUCUUUGCCCAAACAACCUGUAUCAGAAACCUAGUGGCCAUGCCACGGGGUGAAUUUAAAAGCUGGAUUGUGGUAAACCCUGAUAUUCUUCCUCUCCUCUAUCUAUCUCCAGUCUGUCACUUAAAGCAAUGCAGCAUUUAUUCAAGUCUUCUUAUUGUGUCAUUUCCCCCCAAUCAAUGGUGAUAGUGGAAAAAACAAGAAGGUUCCUGGAAAUGGUUGGAGAAUCAAAAUGCAAAUUUCCAUUACCAGUAAAACGAAUAAUCUCUAUACUUGGAUUGAAAAGAAUAGAGAGAAAAUGAAGAUAAAAGAGCUGGGGCCAUUGGGGCUCAACAAAAGUCACCACAAUUACCUUGUUAAAAGGUACCUAUCAUGAACCUGGAUCUAAAUUACAGUCAUAAUAAUAAUUCCAAAAUGGGAUAAGGUGAAAAAGUUAAAUAAAAAAAGAGGGAGGAAAAAAAUGGAGGAGGCAGAGCCAGGGAAGAGGCAGUGCAUGGGCGGAGAAACAACAGAAUCAGUUGGUAGAUCCAUCCAUGCUCAGCCUGUUCCCUGUCUUUGUCUGUCUCUCCCAUCUUUCUCACUCUCUCUCAAUAUUGACUGUUACCUCAUCUUGUUUUGCCUCUGUUGGAAUGCCCCCAAAGAAACCUGCCACACUGAUGUCUAUGGCUCUAUGCUCUCAUCUGAGCUAUUUAAGCUAAACCCCCCAAUAACGUUUACAGUACAACUUGUACUAAACGGACCCUGUACUACAG
Molecule: long non-coding RNA, 1117 nt
Filed under: Gossypium barbadense (sea-island cotton)
Lineage: Eukaryota; Viridiplantae; Streptophyta; Magnoliopsida; Malvales; Malvaceae
Description: long non-coding RNA (GBAR_LNC009986)
Source: RNAcentral